GCUGGGCGUGGUGGUGCACACCUGUAAUCCCAGCUACUUGGGAGGCUGAGGCAGGAGAAUUGCUUGAACCCAGGAGGCAGAGGUUGCAGUGAGCCGAGAUCGUGCCACUGCACUCCAGCCUGGGUAACAGAGUGAGACUCUAUCUCAA
RNAcentral lists this small RNA (148 nucleotides) under Pongo abelii (Sumatran orangutan). RNAcentral's name for it is "Metazoan signal recognition particle RNA (ENSPPYG00000035191.1)". Lineage: Eukaryota; Metazoa; Chordata; Mammalia; Primates; Hominidae. The record is from Rfam by way of RNAcentral.